This 253-nucleotide ribosomal RNA is filed under the name uncultured bacterium. Its description in RNAcentral is "partial 16S ribosomal RNA". It matches the Rfam family "Bacterial small subunit ribosomal RNA", at positions 524 to 776 of the family's 1533-position model. The record is from RNAcentral.
UACGAAGGGGGCUAGCGUUGGUCGGAAUCACUGGGCGUAAAGGGCGCGUAGGCGGCUGUUCAAGUCGGGGGUGAAAUCCUGUGGCUCAACCACAGAAUGGCCUUCGAUACUGGACGGCUAGAGACCGGAAGAGGUGAGUGGAACUGCGAGUGUAGAGGUGAAAUUCGUAGAUAUUCGCAAGAACACCAGUGGCGAAGGCGGCUCACUGGUCCGGUUCUGACGCUGAGGCGCGAAAGCGUGGGGAGCAAACAGG